CCUACGGGAGGCAGCAGUGGGGAAUAUUGGGCAAUGGAGGAAACUCUGACCCAGCGACGCCGCGUGCGGGAUGAAGGCCUUCGGGUUGUAAACCGCUUUCAGCAGGGAAGAAGCGAAAGUGACGGUACCUGCAGAAGAAGCACCGGCUAACUAUGUGCCAGCAGCCGCGGUAAUACAUAGGGUGCAAGCGUUGUCCGGAAUUAUUGGGCGUAAAGAGCUCGUAGGUGGUUCGUCACGUCGGAUGUGAAAAUCUGGGGCUUAACCCCAGACCUGCAUUCGAUACGGGCGAGCUUGAGUAUGGUAGGGGAGUCUGGAAUUCCUGGUGUAGCGGUGGAAUGCGCAGAUAUCAGGAGGAACACCAAUGGCGAAGGCAGGACUCUGGGCCAUUACUGACACUGAGGAGCGAAAGCGUGGGGAGCGAACAGGAUUAGAUACCCUGGUAGUCCACGCCGUAAACGGUGGGCACUAGUUGUGGGGACCUUCCAUGGUCUCUGCGACGCAGCUAACGCAUUAAGUGCCCGCCUGGGGAGUACGGAUCGCAAGAAUUAAAACUUAAAUUGAAUUGAGGCUGAGCGNGCGAGACGACGACGAGGAGAGG
RNAcentral lists this ribosomal RNA (598 nucleotides) under uncultured bacterium. RNAcentral's name for it is "bacterial SSU rRNA". It matches the Rfam family "Bacterial small subunit ribosomal RNA", at positions 338 to 946 of the family's 1533-position model. The record is from RNAcentral.